UACAGAGGUCUCAAGCGUUGUUCGGAUUUAUUGGGCGUAAAGGGUGUGUAGGCGGCAGAUCAAGUUAGAUGCGAAAUACCCGGGCUUAACUCGGGAACUGCAUUUAAUACUGCUCUGCUCGAGUAUUAGAGAAGAAGCUGGAAUUUACGGUGUAGCAGUGAAAUGCGUAGAUAUCGUAAAGAACGUCAGUGGCGAAAGCGAGCUUCUAGAUAAUUACUGACGCUGAGGCACGAAAGCUAGGGGAGCAAACGGG
This 253-nucleotide ribosomal RNA is filed under the name uncultured bacterium. Its description in RNAcentral is "partial 16S ribosomal RNA". It matches the Rfam family "Bacterial small subunit ribosomal RNA", at positions 524 to 776 of the family's 1533-position model. The record is from RNAcentral.